Mus musculus (house mouse) is the source of this 2211-nucleotide long non-coding RNA. RefSeq annotates it as predicted gene, 35081. Lineage: Eukaryota; Metazoa; Chordata; Mammalia; Rodentia; Muridae. The transcript has 4 exons. The record is from RefSeq and is a predicted model, not a curated record.
CUAAUGUCCAUAAUCAGGGGGGCCCAGUUUUAUAAUUUCUGCCUCUUUUCUCUGCAUACUAUUGCUCCUACUUCUGUGGAAAUACCUACUACAAACAACAUUAAAUUAUCAAGUAUUUUGAGUUCCAAAUAUUUUACACAUAUUAGUGAAUUUAAUUUUUAUAACCUCAUAAAGCAGAAACCAUUUCUGUCUCUGCUUUUUUAAGAAACUGGGGUAUGGAGAGGUAUGGCACAGGCAUUGAAGAAAGUUAGAUGAGAUUGUGCAUGUUUCAAAAAAUAUGUUGUAUAUUAGUCUUCAGAAAAAAAGACUGUUUCUGUUGUUCCCAGACUACAAAAAUGAUGCUUAUAGAUUCCAACAAAGCUUUUAUAACCCUGAGACUUACAAAGGAAAAGAAGUAGAAAGAAACAAAGGAAAUUGGACUAAAUUCUAUUACUGAGAGACAACCACACUGUAUGCUCCACAUGGUGAAAGAAGAGGACAGACUCCUGUUCUCUCUGGUGGAUAAACAUCUGUUGUGUCUGGCCAGUAGAUCACAACCUGGGUUCUAGACUGGAAAGGCAUUUUGGAAACCUGGAAGAGAAGAGGGGCUGGGAUGCGCGAGAUAAGGAAGGAACCAAGACAAAGCUCUCUGCUUAAGAGAACUCUUCCUGACAUUUAUGCUGGGGAAAGUAAUCAUAUGUGAUUCAGACUCAAAUAUGCUACUGAAGCUGGUGUGUCCAUGGCAAGUAACUUACUGUCUCUGGACCUUGACUCCCGGAUCUCUCCCUUCAUAGUACAUGGUUGAUAGGAGGUCAAGAACACUCUUUCCUGUCCCUGGCUACCAGCCUUCAAAAGCACACUCUUUCCCCUUCAGACCAAAGCCACAAAGGACAUAUGAAUAUGUACUCUUGUCCACUAUGUUCAUAGCAGCCUUAUUUAUAAUAGCAAGAAGCUGGAAAGAACCCAGAUGUCCCUCAACAAAGGAAUGGAUACAAAAAAUGUGGUACAUUUACACAAUGGAGUACUACUCAGCUAUUAAAAACUAUGAAUUCAUGAAAGUCUUAGACAAAUGGAUGGAUCUGGAGGAUAUCAUCCUAAGUGAGAUAACCCAAUCACAAAAGAACACACAUGAUAUGCACUCACUGAUAAGUGGAUAUUAGCCCAGAAGCAUAGAAUACCCAAGAUACAAUUUGCAAAACAUAUGAAACUCAAGAAGAAGGAAGACAAAAGUGUGGAUACUUUGAUCCUUCUUAGAAGGGGAAACAAAAUACCGAUGGAAGGAGACAAAGUUUGGAGCAGAGACAGAAGGCAUGACCAAACAGAGAUUGGAGAUCCAUCUCAUAAACAACCACCAAACCCAGACACUAUUGCAGAUGUCAACAAAUGCUUGCUGACAGGAGAAUGAUAUAGAUAUCUUCUGAGAGGCUCUGCCAGUGCCUGACUAAUACAGAAGUGAAUGUUCACAGUCAUCCAUUAGAUGGAGCUCAGGGUCCCCAAUGAAGGACCUAAAGAAAGUACCCAAGGAGCUAAAGGGAUUUGAAGCCCCCAGGAGGAUCAACAAUAUGAACUAACCAGUAACCCCAAUCAAAGAAAACACAUGGAGAGACUCAUGGCUCCCUGGGACUAAACCACCAAUCAAAGAAAACACAUGGAGAGAUCCGUGGCUCUAGCUGCACGUGUAGCUGAGGAUGGCCUAGUCAGUCAUCAAUGGGAGGAGAGGCCCUUGGUCCUGUGAAGGUUCUAUACCCCAGUAUGGGGAAUGCCUGGGUCAGGAACCAGGAGUGGGUGGGUUGGGAACAGUGGGAGGAGGAAGAGGAUAGGGGAUUUUCAGAGGGGAAACUAGGAAAGUGGGUAACAUUUGAAAUAUAAAUAAAGAAAAUAUCUAGUAAAAAUAAAAUAAAUUAUUUUGCAAGUUCAUAUACUUUAUGUUGAUGUUUAUAAAGUGCAUUGUUAAAUUUUCUUAAAGAUAAUACACAUGUAUUCUAUAUAAGGAAUUUACCAAUAAAUACUAAAAAGAGUAGGAUAAAACAUGAAAACAAAUUAUUUUCAAAAACUUUUAUUCUAAAUAUCUUGAUCAGUUGAUUAGAAAAAAGUAAUACAUAAUUACAGCCUGGAGCCAUUUCUAUGUGUAUUAUUGUAGCAAGAUGGAAUGCCUUUUAAAAGCUUGAAAGAGUUGGUAAUUUGUAAUUUGGACUGAAAUAAAACUUGUUUUUUUCUUACCAAAAAAAAAAA